RNAcentral lists this ribosomal RNA (120 nucleotides) under Staphylococcus aureus. RNAcentral's name for it is "partial 16S ribosomal RNA". It matches the Rfam family "Bacterial small subunit ribosomal RNA", at positions 1424 to 1533 of the family's 1533-position model. Lineage: Bacteria; Bacillati; Bacillota; Bacilli; Caryophanales; Staphylococcaceae. The record is from RNAcentral.
AAGCCGGUGGAGUAAACUUAUAGGAGAUACACGUAGAAGGUGGGACAAAUGAUUGGGGUGAAGUCGUAACAAGGUAGCCGUAUCGGAAGGUGCGGCUGGAUCACCUCCUUUCUAAGGAGA